Molecule: long non-coding RNA, 212 nt
Filed under: Elaeis guineensis (African oil palm)
Lineage: Eukaryota; Viridiplantae; Streptophyta; Magnoliopsida; Arecales; Arecaceae
Description: long non-coding RNA (EGUI_LNC005982)
Source: RNAcentral
GGGCGAUGGAUAGACCUUCUUCGGCCUUAGCAAGGUUCCCGAGGCUUACUCGGAGCUGCUCGCAUUCGUCCUUCAGCUCCUUGGUGAAGCUGCCCCGCUCGUGCCGAAGCCGGCGGACGGUCCGGGACUUCUUCUUCGCGUCGUCCCAGGCCGACUGCAGCUCCAACUCCGAUGUCGCCAACGCUCCCGUGAGUCGGGAGACCUUCUCCGUG